Long non-coding RNA from Brienomyrus brachyistius, 362 nucleotides. RefSeq lists it as uncharacterized. The record is from RefSeq and is a predicted model, not a curated record. NCBI's taxonomy places the organism in Eukaryota, Metazoa, Chordata, Actinopteri, Osteoglossiformes, Mormyridae. The transcript has 3 exons.
GUUAGUUAGAAUUGUGACCUGAAUUGAACGGGCUUGUUUAUGUGCAAUAACUAGGAUUUUCAGGUAGAGGCCAAGCAUAAAUAACCCUGGGAUGAAGAAAAUAAAAAGGGAAAAUAAUAUGCUUGACACCUUGUCUAGUAACACAGUACACCUUCCCUCACAGUUAAACUGUGUGAGGUAAACAUCCUGAAUUAUCAAGCUGUUUAGCUCAGUUCCAAAACAAAAGAGAGCAGAAAGAACCCAGCAGGUGAGGAUCAUGUACUUUGCAACACAGUUAGUGAUCUUAGCGUGAUACAGCAGAGGCUGAGAAACAGCAACGUAUCGCUCAACAGAAAUCAAAUAAAGCAUAAAAAUUGAUGCUG